RNAcentral lists this non-coding RNA (30 nucleotides) under Mus musculus (house mouse). Lineage: Eukaryota; Metazoa; Chordata; Mammalia; Rodentia; Muridae. The record is from RNAcentral.
UGCCCGAGGAACCACAAGUGCGCGUGUGCA